Molecule: ribosomal RNA, 253 nt
Filed under: uncultured bacterium
Lineage: Bacteria
Description: partial 16S ribosomal RNA
Rfam family: Bacterial small subunit ribosomal RNA
Source: RNAcentral
UACGUAGGGUGCAAGCGUUGUCCGGAUUUAUUGGGCGUAAAGAGCGUGUAGGCGGUUUGGUAGGUCCGCUGUGAAAACUCGAGGCUCAACCUCGAGACGCCGGUGGAAACCAUCAGACUAGAGUCCGGAAGAGGAGAGUGGAAUUCCUGGUGUAGCGGUGAAAUGCGCAGAUAUCAGGAAGAACACCCGUGGCUAAGGCGGCUCUCUAGUACGGUACUGACGCUGAGACGCGAAAGCGUGGGGAGCGAACAGG